CUUAUAUAUCUGCUCUGAAGCUGGUUCAUGUCAGUUUAUUUUUCCCCAGGGCCGUGCAGAAGGGCAUCUGAUCAUAUGGCUGACAUAAGUCACACUGAACUGUCUGAAACCAUCUCCACAAGUGUGAUUGUCUAGAAGAAAAUCAUGGAGAUGUCUGGAGGCAUAAUAUCAACACCGCAUGCUGGUUCACGUUAAUUUUUUUCUUAUUCCAACAUGGAAGGGAACCAUGACUGGCAGAACAGUGACAGAGACCAGAAUGUGAAACCUUCUUCCUCACACAUACAUAGUGAUUCAAAUGACACCCUCUUCAACACUGAGAGCUGAGGAAAAGAAAAUUGCUCACUUGACUGCUGAAUACUAUGGGCUCUAGAAGUCUGGAAACAGAAUUGUCUUUCAUAAGAAGACAAAAAAUGCCUUGCUGGGUUGGAACCCUGACAUGGUAUCAGGCUGUCUAGUGGUCUAGCCAUGAUGCCUGCAACCCACCAACAUUUUUCCUGUGUCUGCAGCAUCCUGUGCAUUGUGUGAAAAACCCUUCCUUUUCAUCCGGAUUCUCCCAAAAUACAGCUGCAUUGCACCAGAACGUGAUUGAUGGGAAUACAGACAGUAGUACUUGUGUCAAAGCCUCCCAGGUUGUGGAAUAUAUUAGACGAUGCCUCUUCUGGUGUCGAAAAGUCAGACUACCCCCCUCUUCUGUGCACUGUAUCAUCAUUUUUAUUCUGAUAUUUUGAACUGAUUUUACUUGGAUUGAAUAUAUUUUAACUGCUAAUAACUCAUGCUGAGAUCUUAAGGUGUGGAAAAAUGCAUUGAGAUAAAAANAUGUUUGAAACACAUUUACAUUGUCCAUUCAGAUUUCAUAAUUUUAAAGAUGCCAUAAGUCUGUUUCUUAGUUUUGCUACAAUGAACAGUUUUCCUUUUGAAAAGGAACGCAACAGCUAAUAGUCCCAUGAAGUAGAUAAAAUGUUGAGUAGUCUGGGGGACGCAGAAGAGCUACAAUAUUUUCUAUGAGAAUGAAUGGAUUAGUACCUUUCCAUAUUCUUCAAACCUAUCUGGGUUUCUGAGAAACCAAAACGGCUAAGGAUCUCUUGAAUUGGGCCCAUAGGAAAACCAUUCACAAUAUUUCUGAAAUCAGAAACUGCCUUUUGAAGUGCAAUAAAGAACUGAGUUAGCUUCUGAUAGAGUAACUA
RNAcentral lists this long non-coding RNA (1184 nucleotides) under Salvator merianae (Argentine black and white tegu). RNAcentral describes it as "lncRNA (ENSSMRG00000000880.1)". Lineage: Eukaryota; Metazoa; Chordata; Lepidosauria; Squamata; Teiidae. The record is from RNAcentral.